GGGGAACUCUUUGCCAGUCGGACCUUGUCAUCCUGGAGGAGUGCUGCUGAUGCCAAUGGAGACUCAAUAGAUUGCUACACAGAUAUCCCAAAGAUCAUCUAUGCUUCUAGAACUCACUCACAGCUAACUCAGGUCAUCGGUGAGCUUCGGAAUACUUCCUACCGCUAUCAUGCUGCCUGUGGUCGGGGUCAGCUCUGGCUCCUCAAGGCAGCUACUUUGCUCGUGAUGGAAGAAGAGUCCACCUUUAGCGAGAAUCCAGCGGAGUCUUGAUGUCUCACUAGGGCUCCCAUGUGGAAGAACUUGGACAGCCCAAGGUGUGUGUGCUGGGCUCCCGGGAGCAGCUGUGUAUUCAUCCCGAAGUGAAGAAGCAAGAGAGUAACCACAUGCAGAUCAGUUUGUGCCGUAAGAAGGUGGCAAGUC
This 420-nucleotide long non-coding RNA is filed under the name Rattus norvegicus (Norway rat). RNAcentral describes it as "long non-coding RNA NONRATT018982". Lineage: Eukaryota; Metazoa; Chordata; Mammalia; Rodentia; Muridae. The record is from RNAcentral.